Molecule: long non-coding RNA, 1516 nt
Organism: Dermacentor albipictus
Lineage: Eukaryota; Metazoa; Arthropoda; Arachnida; Ixodida; Ixodidae
Source: RefSeq, a predicted model, not a curated record
UGCUUAUAACGCGAGCGUCUAUGCCUCGGUCGUUGUGGUCCACUUGCAUAGCCUUGGAGUGCAGGCGAGAAGUCCGCGCAGGUUUUCACUGCGCAGAGUGAACGCAACAGCCUUGCUACUAAAGGUCUCCCGUUCCAGUGUUGGCGCCGCGGAACGAGGGCGAACAAUGGGCGAACUGUCGACGGAGGCCCGUCCGCCGCGAUAGGUUCGAUUGGAGCGCAGGCGAAACGCUGUAAUCUUCGGUGGGCCAAAGGACGCUGCAGCCACGUGUGACUCAUGUUGAGCGAACUUUCGGGGCGUGCGCUGGUCGCAUGUGUAGGCGCCUUUCUCUCUCUCUCUUCAGAAGGCCGCGCACGUUGCGCACGAAUGUGUGCGUCUGCGGUAGAACCAGAGCUCGCGCAGACAGCUCUUAUGCGUCACGCGCUUUAGCGUAAUUCGCCAGACAAUAAUAGCAUUGUCCUGUGCGCAUGUAACUCUACAGAGCCGCACUUUUCCCGGAAUUGCCCCUCAACAGGACAGCCAGGCAAAUAGCACGCCCCAUGCAUAAAAAAUGCGAUGUCCACACCAAGGCACCAGUGAAGGUGGUUCCGGUAAGGCUGCGAAACCGCACACGGUUCCAGUGCAAAGACUACAGCGGAGAUCGCAGCUCUGAGGCGCCUGUUCCUGCGGCGAGCGUCGGCGUCGUCCCUCGGCGUCCUCGUAACCAAGCGAACGAACACAACGAAGGACGAAAGAGCGAACGCGGAUGAAAGACGGCCAUAGCAAAGAGAGCAUCAGGAGGAAAGAGGAGAAGGAGGGCGCAGCGGAUCCAUGAGGCAGAAAGCGGAGGAGAAGAAAGUGCAACGUGGAACAGCCGCAGGGAGCAGACCAACUGGUAGACGUCUCUGUCUUCUCUCCACAUAACCUCCCCUUCAGCGUUAUCCCUCUGGUCAUCCAAAGCAACCGCACCGGGAACGGAAAAAGAGAAAGCAAGGAGAGAAAUGUAGCGAGGUUGACCACACGAGCAUCCGCUUUGAACUCGACGCCAGAUACACCGUAUAUAUUUAUUUGCACCAUUAAGGGUGUAAAUCGGUUUGCAGUGAAUGCAUGAAGGAAGUCUAUUUACGAGAAAGGGUGGCUCUUUCGCUCGGUUCGGAUUUAGGGAAUGGAAGGGGAUGGAAAAGUGUCCAACCUCGAAGGCGGCAUCACAGAACACAGAUGACACCGGACUUACGGGCGAAGAUGUACACCGGCAUAAGAGCGACCCGAACCUCGAUUCACCCCGUGUCUUAUCCAGUGAUGGAGUCUCGUGAGAAUUAACUCGUUACCUCAGUUAGAAUGGUCAUUAAUGCCGACAUAAAGAGAGUCUUGUUUUAAUUAAUAACGCGGGCUGGAGACCAGUGCCGAUACAAGAGCAGCUGCUUCUAUUAAAUGUGGCACAUGUCAUAAGCAGUGACUGACCAAGAUGACAAAGCCUUUAUUUCCGUGCGAGAACGUCUCAGUUCUCGCUCUGUAUAUGUUUACCAGAGGAACAAAG